AUUCUAAUUACCUGGGAAUCUUGUUAAAAAGCAAAUUUUGAUUCAGAAGUUCAGGGGUAGGACCAGAAUUCUUCAGUUCUUUAAAGUUUCCAGGUGAAACUGAU
Molecule: microRNA precursor, 104 nt
Filed under: Marmota monax (woodchuck)
Lineage: Eukaryota; Metazoa; Chordata; Mammalia; Rodentia; Sciuridae
Source: RNAcentral